This 1112-nucleotide ribosomal RNA is filed under the name uncultured Negativicutes bacterium. Its description in RNAcentral is "bacterial SSU rRNA". It matches the Rfam family "Bacterial small subunit ribosomal RNA", at positions 8 to 1104 of the family's 1533-position model. Lineage: Bacteria; Bacillati; Bacillota; Negativicutes. The record is from RNAcentral. RNAcentral also lists the same sequence under 1 other name.
AGAGUUUGAUCCUGGCUCAGGACGAACGCUGGCGGCGUGCUUAACACAUGCAAGUCGAACGGGGAAUUGUGCUUCGGCAGAAUUCCUAGUGGCGAACGGGUGAGUAACGCGUAGGCAACCUGCCCUUCAGACGGGGACAACAUUCCGAAAGGGGUGCUAAUACCGGAUACGAAGCUUCUGCCGCAUGACGGAAGCUUGAAAGGCGCUUUCAAGCGCCGCUGAAGGAUGGGCCUGCGUCCGAUUAGCUUGUUGGUGGGGUAACGGCCCACCAAGGCGACGAUCGGUAGCCGGUCUGAGAGGAUGAACGGCCACAUUGGGACUGAGACACGGCCCAGACUCCUACGGGAGGCAGCAGUGGGGAAUCUUCCGCAAUGGGCGAAAGCCUGACGGAGCAACGCCGCGUGAGUGAUGAAGUUCUUCGGAACGUAAAACUCUGUUGUUCACGACGAACGGGGGGACCAGGAAAUGGGUUCCCAGUGACGGUAGUGAACGAGGAAGCCACGGCUAACUACGUGCCAGCAGCCGCGGUAAUACGUAGGUGGCAAGCGUUGUCCGGAAUUAUUGGGCGUAAAGCGCAUGUAGGCGGUUCCCUAAGUCGGUCGUGAAAAUGCGGUGCUUAACGCCGUAUGGCGAUCGAAACUGGGGGACUUGAGUGCAGGAGAGGAAAGGGGAACUCCCAGUGUAGCGGUGAAAUGCGUAGAUAUUGGGAAGAACACCGGUGGCGAAGGCGCCUUUCUGGACUGUGUCUGACGCUGAGAUGCGAAAGCCAGGGUAGCGAACGGGAUUAGAUACCCCGGUAGUCCUGGCCGUAAACGAUGGGUACUAGGUGUGGGAGGUAUCGACCCCUUCCGUGCCGGAGUUAACGCAAUAAGUACCCCGCCUGGGGAGUACGGCCGCAAGGCUUAAACUCAAAGGAAUUGACGGGGGCCCGCACAAGCGGUGGAGUAUGUGGUUUAAUUCGACGCAACGCGAAGAACCUUACCAAGGCUUGACAUUGAGUGAAAGACCUAGAGAUAGGUCCCCUUCUUCGGAAGCACGAAAACAGGUGGUGCAUGGCUGUCGUCAGCUCGUGUCGUGAGAUGUUGGGUUAAGUCCCGCAACGAGCGCAACCC